This 305-nucleotide ribosomal RNA is filed under the name uncultured bacterium. RNAcentral's name for it is "bacterial SSU rRNA". It matches the Rfam family "Bacterial small subunit ribosomal RNA", at positions 334 to 656 of the family's 1533-position model. The record is from RNAcentral.
GACCUACGGGAGGCAGCAGUGGGGAAUAUUGCACAAUGGGCGAAAGCCUGAUGCAGCAACGCCGCGUGAAGGAAGAAGGGUUUCGGCUCGUAAACUUCUAUCAACAGGGACGAAAGAAAUGACGGUACCUGAAUAAGAAGCCCCGGCUAACUACGUGCCAGCAGCCGCGGUAAUACGUAGGGGCAAGCGUUAUCCGGAAUUACUGGGUGUAAAGGGGGAGUAGGCGGCAUGGUAAGCCAGAUGUGAAAGCCCGGGGCUCAACCGCGGGACUGCUUUUGAAACUGUGUAGCUAGAGUGCAGGAGAG